GUCCCUCGCUGGGACUCGAACAACGACGUUCAAGUAGGCGGACCACCCUCUACGAGAUGUUAUUUCGUCCGGAGAAUAGUCGUUCGACCGGGUACAGCGUCGGCGAGGGCGAAACAAAUAGUGGAAAAAAGAUACCGAGCAUUUGCGCGCAAUCGUGCCGAAUGCCUGAAAUUUCAGUAAUUAUCGCUGGACAAACAUCGAACGGAAGAAGAGGCAUGCCUCGAUUGCAGAUUGCGUUUCCAGAGCCACUCCGAGAAUCGUUAAGACGACCGUGCUUCGAAUGGCAAACAAAGGAAAUACGUGUACGACAUAUGUAAUUGCAACGGUCGGAUAGGUUGUUACUAGAUCGCGAAUAUUUAUGCAAAUUCUAAUUUUUAUGAAUAGCAAUUAAAAAAGGCAGAACCUGAAUAGAAAAUUGUUUCACCUCGUAAAUAUUCUAUCAACUAUUACAUCGUGAAUGUUUUAUAUAUCUUUAAGUAUUACGCGUAUUAUGUUCAUAUUUGUACCUUCGAAUUUUCCAUAGACGCGUGAAAAUCCGCGGUCCACUUACUACACACCGCGUUCGAUAAAUUGUCGAUUGAAAUAACUAAAUAACGUAUAAUCAAUAAUGAAAUAAUGAAUAGUGUUAAGAAUGCGAACUAUAGGAUAUGCAAACUUAAUAUUCAAAUUGUUCUAUCUCGAUUAUUUCGUAAUGAUAUUUUCAUACAUGUAAAACCAGUAAUACAUGAAAUCUGCAUGUCAAAUCAAAUCGAGCGAGAUAGUUGAAGUAUUCGCCUUCCUGUUCCUUAUCUUCGUCAGAAAAGCGGUAUUUAUCGAAGUGUAAUUUUACUUUCCCUCAAACUUCGAUACAGUUGCACUAACCGAUUAUACAGAGAAAAAAAUCACUUCCACUGCUUAUCGGUUACAACAUACAUAUAGCACGUGUAGUCCACGUUGUAAUUCAUCAACUAAUAGAAAGUAGUUCGACCGUGCCUGUCAGCAUAUCUGCAAACUCCUUCACCAACAGCAUUUUCCAACGCUGGA
This 1023-nucleotide unclassified non-coding RNA is filed under the name Bombus terrestris (buff-tailed bumblebee). RNAcentral's name for it is "misc RNA ENSBTSG00005024443.1". The record is from RNAcentral. Lineage: Eukaryota; Metazoa; Arthropoda; Insecta; Hymenoptera; Apidae.